RNAcentral lists this ribosomal RNA (253 nucleotides) under uncultured bacterium. RNAcentral describes it as "partial 16S ribosomal RNA". It matches the Rfam family "Bacterial small subunit ribosomal RNA", at positions 524 to 776 of the family's 1533-position model. The record is from RNAcentral.
UACGUAGGGGGCAAGCGUUGUCCGGAAUCAUUGGGCGUAAAGAGCGUGUAGGCGGCCCGGUAAGUCUGUUGUGAAAGUCCAGGGCUCAACCCUGGAAAGCCGAUGGAUACUGCCGGGCUAGAGUUCGGAAGAGGCGAGUGGAAUUCCUGGUGUAGCGGUGGAAUGCGCAGAUAUCAGGAGGAACACCGGUGGCGAAGGCGGUUCUCUGGGCCUGUACUGACGCUGAGGAGCGAAAGCGUGGGGAGCGAACAGG